GAUGAACGCUGGCGGCGUGCCUAAUUCAUGCAAGUCGAGCGAACGGACGAGAAGCUUGCUUCUCUGAUGUUAGCGGCGGACGGGUGAGUAACACGUGGAUAACCUACCUAUAAGACUGGGAUAACUUCGGGAAACCGGAGCUAAUACCGGAUAAUAUUUUGAACCGCAUGGUUCAAAAGUGAAAGACGGUCUUGCUGUCACUUAUAGAUGGAUCCGCGCUGCAUUAGCUAGUUGGUAAGGUAACGGCUUACCAAGGCAACGAUGCAUAGCCGACCUGAGAGGGUGAUCGGCCACACUGGAACUGAGACACGGUCCAGACUCCUACGGGAGGCAGCAGUAGGGAAUCUUCCGCAAUGGGCGAAAGCCUGACGGAGCAACGCCGCGUGAGUGAUGAAGGUCUUCGGAUCGUAAAACUCUGUUAUUAGGGAAGAACAUAUGUGUAAAUAACUGUGCACAUCUUGACGGUACCUAAUCAGAAAGCCACGGCUAACUACGUG
RNAcentral lists this ribosomal RNA (497 nucleotides) under uncultured bacterium. RNAcentral's name for it is "partial 16S ribosomal RNA". It matches the Rfam family "Bacterial small subunit ribosomal RNA", at positions 28 to 507 of the family's 1533-position model. The record is from RNAcentral.